CAACGAGGAUUUUUAGGAGAAAUGGAGUGUUUUAAAGGAGUAGAGAAAUGAAGGAAUAAAAAUUAGGAGUUCUUUGUAAAGUUGAGAGAUGGUCAAACUUCCUCCCGAACUCUGCAAACUCUUGAUAUAAUGUCCAUGGAAUUGGCAAAAGGGUAACAAAAAAGUGAGGGCCACCAGGGGAGACGAGAAGCUACGCCGACUCGAGCUUUCCGUGCAAUGUUUGGUGCCCAUCCCAUCAAGUUGUCGCAUUUUUUCCGUACUUACUUGUGACCGUUGUGCUUGCUGAUUCUUCUGAUCUUCGAUCAUCAUGGCAUUUACCAAUGAAUACAUAUUUUAUGGAUGUGCUGAUGCCAACAAAAUGUAAUGUAAACAAACCAGGCAGGCCAGCAGGUACUGCCAGUCAGCAAUGAGUAAAUCAGCGCUCAGAGAAGGGAUAACGCGGCACCAGGAGGCAGGAAACCAACCGUUCCUGUCUAUAUCCCAGUUCAAGACAAACUUCUGGUCGUGAUUGGGGAUAACAACACCUCAAUUUCAGGUGUUGAGAAUGCCUGUGACUGAGAACAACCAACAGCUGUUAUCAAUGUUCCUGUAGGUUGGUGCAGCAAGCUAUGGCAGGAAAACCAGAACAUCGAACUGCUGCAGAGGGAUAAUAACUUCUAGUGCACCCAUCCUCUGCAUCAUUGCAGGAUCUUGCCAAGAUGACAUUUGAGGAGUUCCAUCACCUGUCUGAGAAAGAGAAAAAUAGAUAGGGCUCAGUAUGUUGAUAUGCAAUACAAACUAGCUCAAAUAUUAAAAAAAGUCAUUCUUUACCAUCUCCUCUUUCAGUAAUAUUAUACUAUUUUAUUUUCAUUUUGUAUGGUAACCGUGGCAUAGUAAUAAGGGGCAAGCCGGGCAAAUGCCCUGGGCAGCACAUUUCUCAGUGGGCGGCACAAGCAAGGCUACUGAGAGUAUUGGUGUUCAGACUGUUAUUUUAGAAUUUGCAACAUUGAAGGCAUGCAAAAUAAUGAUUUAAAGUUGAUGUAUGUAUAAUAUAAUAUGUAUACAUAAUACACAAAUGCUUAAUUUUACAUUUUGAUUAUUUUUGGGUGCAGCAUUUCCAGGUAAAUCUAUCUCUCACUAUGCCGCUGUAUGAAAGGGCUGUGGUAUUUAACAGAGUAUAAAAUAUUGUGAUGUGU
Long non-coding RNA from Portunus trituberculatus (swimming crab), 1175 nucleotides. RefSeq lists it as uncharacterized. The transcript has 4 exons. NCBI's taxonomy places the organism in Eukaryota, Metazoa, Arthropoda, Malacostraca, Decapoda, Portunidae. The record is from RefSeq and is a predicted model, not a curated record.